AUUGAACGCUGGCGGCAGGCCUAACACAUGCAAGUCGAGCGGUAACAGGGGAGCUUGCUCUCGCUGACGAGCGGCGGACGGGUGAGUAACGCGUGGGAAUCUGCCCAUCGGUGGGGGAUAGCCCGGAGAAAUCCGGAUUAAUACCGCAUAAUACCUGAGGGUUAAAACGGGGAGUCUUUAGACCUCGUGCCGAUGGAUGAGCCCGCGUCAGAUUAGCUAGUUGGUAGGGUAAUGGCCUACCAAGGCGACGAUCUGUAACUGGCCUGAGAGGGUGGCCAGUCACACUGGAACUGAGACACGGUCCAGACUCCUACGGGAGGCAGCAGUGGGGAAUAUUGGACAAUGGGCGGAAGCCUGAUCCAGCCAUGCCGCGUGUGUGAAGAAGGCUUUCGGGUUGUAAGCACUUUAAGUUGGGAGGAAGGCGUUGAUGGUUAAUACCAUCGAGAUUGACGUUACCGACAGAAUAAGCACCGGCUAAUUCGUGCCAGCAGCCGCGGUAAAG
RNAcentral lists this ribosomal RNA (502 nucleotides) under uncultured bacterium. RNAcentral's name for it is "bacterial SSU rRNA". It matches the Rfam family "Bacterial small subunit ribosomal RNA", at positions 30 to 525 of the family's 1533-position model. The record is from RNAcentral.